Molecule: ribosomal RNA, 252 nt
Filed under: uncultured bacterium
Lineage: Bacteria
Description: partial 16S ribosomal RNA
Rfam family: Bacterial small subunit ribosomal RNA
Source: RNAcentral
ACGUAGGCAGCAAGCGUUGUUCGGAAUUACUGGGCGUAAAGAGUGUGUAGGCGGUGCUCCAAGUCUGGUGUGAAAUCUCCCGGCUUAACUGGGAGGGUGCAUUAGAAACUGGAAUGCUAGAGGAUGGGAGAGGUAAGCGGAAUUCCUGGUGUAGCGGUGAAAUGCGUAGAUAUCUGGAGGAACACCGGUGGCGAAGGCGGCAUCCUGGACCGGCAUUGACGCUGAGGCGCGAAAGCCAGGGGAGCAAACGGG